UUUGGGGGGGUGAUUUACACAUGCAGUCGAACGGCAGCACGGGUGCUUGCACCUGGUGGCGAGUGGCGAACGGGUGAGUAAUACAUCGGAACAUGUCCUGUAGUGGGGGAUAGCCCGGCGAAAGCCGGAUUAAUACCGCAUACGAUCUACGGAUGAAAGCGGGGGACCUUCGGGCCUCGCGCUAUAGGGUUGGCCGAUGGCUGAUUAGCUAGUUGGUGGGGUAAAGGCCUACCAAGGCGACGAUCAGUAGCUGGUCUGAGAGGACGACCAGCCACACUGGGACUGAGACACGGCCCAGACUCCUACGGGAGGCAGCAGUGGGGAAUUUUGGACAAUGGGCGAAAGCCUGAUCCAGCAAUGCCGCGUGUGUGAAGAAGGCCUUCGGGUUGUAAAGCACUUUUGUCCGGAAAGAAAUCCUUGGCUCUAAUACAGUCGGGGGAUGACGGUACCGGAAGAAUAAGCACCGGCUAACUACGUGCCAGCAGCGGGCGGUAAUA
RNAcentral lists this ribosomal RNA (497 nucleotides) under Burkholderia sp. HE45A. RNAcentral describes it as "bacterial SSU rRNA". It matches the Rfam family "Bacterial small subunit ribosomal RNA", at positions 36 to 525 of the family's 1533-position model. The record is from RNAcentral. Lineage: Bacteria; Pseudomonadati; Pseudomonadota; Betaproteobacteria; Burkholderiales; Burkholderiaceae.